Molecule: long non-coding RNA, 505 nt
Filed under: Homo sapiens (human)
Lineage: Eukaryota; Metazoa; Chordata; Mammalia; Primates; Hominidae
Description: HSALNT0397505
Source: RNAcentral
UUCCGUCCCUUGUAGCACUGCCUUCUGGGUAAUGUAGUUUGACGGAAUCCGGGUGGUACCUGGAGCGCACUUUCUGUUCUCGCAACCAGGAUCUGACCCCUCCCCAUCUGCCCCUCCAGCCCCCAGGGAAGCCAGAACCAGGCACAAACCAGAUGGCCCAGCUUAUGCCCAGCAACUCAGGGUCACCAGAUCUUGUCUCAUCAAGACACUUUCAGCCCACCACCCAAACCUGUAGCCCACAUGAAGAGGGCAAUAAUCCUGGACACUGUGAAAAGUAAAAGCAUUACAUCCAAAGAGGCAUCCCCAGGAUGGAGCAGAAAUAAGAAAACAUAAUGAAGACACAAUUUUGCAAUCACUUCUGCCUAUAUUCCAUGGCCUACAAACCACUCAAAUAGCUCCACAUGUAAGAGAAGCCAGGAUGUGCUGUCCUCCAGAGCAUCCAGAAAGAGAUAAUGGGACUGAUAAGUCCUUGGCCAUUUUCUAGUAAAAUCUAUUAAUUUAGUCA